Molecule: ribosomal RNA, 406 nt
Filed under: uncultured bacterium
Lineage: Bacteria
Description: partial 16S ribosomal RNA
Rfam family: Bacterial small subunit ribosomal RNA
Source: RNAcentral
AUUGAACGCUGGCGGCAGGCCUAACACAUGCAAGUCGAACGAGUGGCGGACGGGUGAGUAAUGUCUGGGAAACUGCCUGAUGGAGGGGGAUAACUACUGGAAACGGUAGCUAAUACCGCAUACCCUCAGAUGUGCCCAGAUGGGAUUAGCUAGUUGGUGGGGUAACGGCUAACCAAGGCGACGAUCCCUAGCUGGUCUGAGAGGAUGACCAGCAACAGUGGAACUGAGAAAGGGUCCAGCCUCCUCCGGGAGGCGGCAUGGGGGAAUAUUGCAAAAUGGGGGCAAGCCGGAUGCAGCAAUGCCGCGUGUAUGAAGAAGGCCUUCGGGUUGUAAAGUCCUUUCAGCGGGGAGGCGUUACCCGCAGAAGAAGCACCGGCUAACUCCGUGCCAGCAGCCGCGGUAAUUC